Seriola dumerili (greater amberjack) is the source of this 385-nucleotide long non-coding RNA. RefSeq lists it as uncharacterized. The record is from RefSeq and is a predicted model, not a curated record. The transcript is spliced from 3 exons. NCBI's taxonomy places the organism in Eukaryota, Metazoa, Chordata, Actinopteri, Carangiformes, Carangidae.
ACAAAAGUGAGAAGGUUGGAGAUGUAUCUCAACAACUCCUCACCCAGCAGCAUCAAAGAGCUGCAGGAGAGAGCCGAGGAGAAUUUAACCAUCUUGAGAGGUUUACGGUAUUUUACCCAGUUUCAAAAGGAGAACAUUGAUACUCAGAAUGAGCAGCUCUCCAAACUGCAGAAGAUGAGUGAAGCUAUAAGAUAGUUGUUCUAAGAUUCAGCACUGAGGUCUCCCAGUCUACACAGCUUUGAAUGAGACGGGUCCACCUACAUCUCAACUCUGAAACGUCACCGCACUCCCUUCCAACCCUGAUAUGUAUACUACAGAUCUACUGUAUAGCCGGUAAAUAUUUUCUGCUAGCACCCUUAUGAUUAUGUCCUUGUUUUUGUGGCUG